GUUACAUGCUUUACUAUUCAAGAUUUUAAAGCAAAAGGCUGAUAGGUUUGUUUUGGAAUUCAAAGAGAUUGUUAAACCUAGUGCUUUUAUAAGGUCGUCUUUUGAGUUAGGUCAGAGAGCUUUUACAACCGAGAGUGUCCUUAACCUGAGAUUCCAUGGGGUUUGGGGGAUUUCCGAAUCUCCUGAGGUUGUGUUGAAGUUCUGUGUGUUACCUGCACAUUUUUCAGGAGUGAAUGGUUGUGGGUCUUUAAGAGGGUCAAUGAUCAGGGGGGAAAAACACAGCUUUUUACAAUAAUAGUGUUUUUAAAAUAAUAAUAAUAUUUUUUUAUUACACAAAUCAUAGAUUUCCUUACGUCCCAUUGUCUUCUCAAUUGAAUCUUCGAGAAAUUUUCCUUCUGCAGUUCUUCUCUCCUGUUGCCCACAGUAUCUCAUACCCUUUACUUUAUAGCCUUAUGAGUGAGUAAAAAGUUUAUAAGAAGUAAAGAGUUCUGUUUAGGGAAGCUGUUUGAAUAGACUUCAUAUGUUUGAGUCAAGACUAAUAAAAAAUUAUAGAGGAAUUUUCUUCCCAGUCAUUUAAAAUCCUCUGUUUUAUUCAGUGAAAAACAGUUAUGUUUUGAGUAAAUAACACUGAAAUAAACUGGUGCAGCAAGUGCAAAUAGAAUGUAUGUAAAUGUGAAGGUUUCCUUUUGAGGACUUCAUGAGUUUGUGGUGAAGAUGUCUCAGAACAAGUCAAUAGAGAUAAUUAUGAUUUACUGAGAUUAUUGCUUCUGUUACCUUAUUUCAUUCUAUUUUCACUUAUCUUAUGUUUUUUAGGAGGUUUCAAGUCAACAGAACCAACGUGAUUGAUUUUUUUAAAACUGUUUGUAAAUCAAAACUUUGGAAAUGUUUUCUUUUGCUUAUUUAUUAAGAGAUUUUGGUAUAAGGAUGCCUUCUUUAUUUUUAAGGCCACUUAAUAUUGGUUUUGGAGAUUAUUUUGGAUGCUUAUAAGUUACGAAAAAGUUUAACUUAGAUUAUCAGGGGAAAAUUCCUAAAUUUAUGGUGUUUGACUUUCCUGCUUUUUAAGAUGGAAGAACUGAAGAGGCAGGAUUCAUUUUAUCACAGAAAUAGGAAGAAGCUUUGUUCACAGUAAAAUAGAAAUCCUACCUAGACUGAUAAUAGAUGUUCAGAGCAGGCAGUUAUUUCUUAUAUUACUUUUUCCAAAAAGUAAAAACCAAAAAUGUAAAAUUUUCAGGAAAAUCUUUGAGAAUGGAACUUAAAGUUUAUCUAUUAAAUAAGCAAACACAGUAGAACCAUUAGCUGAAUAAUCCUCUUUUAACCAAUUUUGCCCACUGAAUUAAAAAUCACUAGAUAAAAUCACUGGAAAGAUAUACUUUGGGCAAUUCUGGUGUAUUUAGACGUUAUCCAUAGAAAUUAUUUCUAUUUUGUAUAAUAGGAGAAAUUAACAGUAUCAUUAGAAUGGAAUAACAGGUGGACAUUUCAAUCGAAUAUAUCUUAACUUGGCUAUUAUAAAGUCUGUUGUCUUUGCAGCCAGAACUUUUUGUCUGCUUUUGUUUCUUGGCACUGGUGAUGAUGGAAAUAAAAACCUCAGCAUCCUGGUGACGGGGAGAGAUGUUGCCUGAGAUAAUGGUUUCACUUUCAGAAAGUGAGGUCAAAGUAUUAAAACAAUAAUAGCUGUGCUCACUUAGAGAACAAACAAGCUUUGUAAGACUUUUUCAACUCUUCCCAAUCAAUAUUCUGUCAUUACUUAGAUAAAAUUGGAGGAGAGAAGAAAAAGUAGAUAAGGGCAUGACAAUUAGGAAAAUGUAUGAAAAUGAAGCCUGGGCACUUGGUUUAAGGUCUUUUAGGCCCGUGAAGCUUAUGUGAGCUGUGAGUCAGCUUCUGUUUAUUAAUCGUUCUGUAGGAGAGAAAAUGCCAAGUAUUCGUUUAUCGUUGUCGAGGAGCAUCAGUGAGCCUUCCUUUUUCUCUAUUAAGGCAUGUAAAAAUUAUCCUUGAAGAGCUGGUACUGAAGAUCAACUUGAUGCUUCUAAAGGAAUGUGUGACCCUAUAAUUAAUUAGAGUUUAGAUUUGAAAGUUGAAUCUUAACCUAAGAGUUUUUAUGUUUGCUUGAAUAGGAGUAGGCGGAGAAAGCUGUUAACUUGAAUACUAGAUUUUUAUUUAAUGAUGAUAGACUCAUGGCCCUUGCCUUACAUAUAUUUUAUAUUAUUAUUAUUCAAGAAGUCACUAAUGGAAAUCUUUGAAUUUAAAGAGGUUAGCUCCUUUUUUACAUAUUUAUAUUUAUAAAAUAUUAUUAAAUGAGUAGCAUUGUCUUUAUCACCUUUCCAAUGAAAAGAUGCAAGUGCAUGGAUUAUAUUAAAUAUAAAUAUUGUAUAUAAUAUAUAAUAUAAAAUAAUAUCAUAUAUGUAGUAUCAUAGGGUGUGUGUGUGCGGGCAUGCAUGCCUGAAGGUGAUUUCUUCAAAUACAUCAUUAAACUUGUCUUCCCUAAAUAAGUUCUUACUUGUCUUUAGGAUACAGUUUUUGACUGAUAUAGGAAGUGAAGUAUAUUCCUUUUCUUUUCUAAAUCUAAUCUGUCGUUUUCUUUUAUCAGCCAGACUCGUGUCUCGUCCUCAUUACUGUUCCCCUCAUCAGCUGAAGCUGUUCUUUCCCGGUAAUGACCAGUCUUAAACAUUUGCAUCACUCAACAAAUAGCCAUUCUCACUAUUUGUCUUGCCUGAUUCACUUCUCAUAUAUACUCAGCGUUUGAUUUGUUUUAAAUGUGACCCCACUGAGAACAUUGUUCUGGAGAGCUUUUUCUGAUGCCAUUAGGCAACAACAGUGUAGCGUUAUCAGUCAUCACUUCAAUAUUAUUAAAAUGUUGGCUGCAACUUGACUUCUUUAAUUGAAUCUAGCAUUUUCUAGGCUGGCGUUUCUUAAUGGAGGUUGCAGGUCAGACUUGUCCACGAACUUCUAUUAAUACACAGGAGUCCAGGUACUGCUCUGGACUUUCUGAAUCUCUUUACUUGAUAUUCUUGAUAUUAAAAAAAGUAUGACUCAGGAUUAUUACAUUAAAUCUUAAAGUAUUUUCCUCUAUAGAGAUUAUCUCCAUUCAUUUGUAUAAAUCAGAUCUAAUAUUUACAGGCUAAUUUGAAAAUAGGUUUAAUCAUUAUCCUUGGAGACAUUUUGUCUAAAGUUUGCUUGGAAUGGCUUUCUUCUCUUUGUUUUGUGUGCCAUAGAAACAGUCAGACUUCCUCUUCAGUUGCAGUAUUCUCAUCACAAGCCCUCUUCAGACCUUACACAUUUGAAAAUUAUAACUAAUAUUUGCCUCCAACAAAGUGUCCGUUUGCUUUUAUUAGUUCCUAGUGACUAUCAGUGAAUAUUUUGCAUAUUUGAAUUAGGUAACAUUUCAAAGUAUUAAUAAAAAGCAUAAGUAACAAAAUGCCAGAUUUAAAACAUAGAAUUAGAUCUCUUGUAGCCUUGAUGCCAGUAAUCAAUAGAUUUUCCUAAUUAAAAAGGAUUGGGCAAAUUCCCUAAGGACUUCUGAUGACUUCUGUAGGUACAGCCUCUGUAUGGUAAAUAAUUGAGAUCAAAGAUGAAAUGAUCUUUAAGUUAAAUAAUUAAGAUUAAGUUUAAAUAAUCUUUAAGUUUUCAAAUGAAAAGUCCUAGUAGUACAGAAAAUAAAGCAUUAACGUUUAAGAUACUUAGGCCUAUAUUGGAAAUGGUUCCAUUUUCUACAUUGAAAAUAUCCUCGAGUAUAGGAGUUAAUGUGAUUUUCUUCAGUAUAAGAAUCUUGAGUAAAAGUGGCUAUAUUGUCAAAUACUUUCCUGGGAGAUUGUAGUAAUCCGUCAGACACGUCUUCUUACAUUUCCUCAUUGACAUCUGUCACAUGUGGGUAAUUUCUAAACACCUUGCAGGAUUUGAAGCUAACGGUUUUAGUGAAAAAUAAAAGGACAGAGAUACAACUGUAUUUACUUUUGUCUAAAUGCCUAUAAUCUUAAGAACUGAAAAUUCAGAGGAAAAGAACAAGUAGAAGUUUACUAAUUCAACAUUUUUUUUCCAUGAUAUACUUUGAAUGUUUCCUUAGAAACUUAUUUUACAAAUAUUACCAUAAUAAUAAUAACAAUAACAACAACACAAUGUUGUUAUUGAAAGAAUUACCCAUUCAUUUUUCAAAGUUGACUGUGAGUGGAGUUUUGGGGGGGGGGGGGGGUUUUCACUUAUGAUGGCUGUCUCAUUAUUUAAAAUUUAUAACUAUUUUUGAAUGUGCAGAGUGAUUAGCUAUUUGUAACACUAUUCCGAUGUAGCGUUGUAAUUUGAAAAUAAAAAAACAAGUUAGGAUUUAGGUGGGAUGGAAAAAUUAUAUUUUAUUGAUCAAAAUAUAUACUUUUAAACAAGAAGUCUUAGUACAAUUGGGCCUUUUAAAAUUUUAUUUUGGAAAUAAUAUAUUUCAACAAUAUAUAUUAAAACUAGAGGUUCUCUGGUAGCCAGCGUACUAACUAGUUAAUGUUAAAAUGCUAUUUUUGCUAUUCCUUCUCUUGGAAACAUUUUCCCACACUAUGUGAGCAAUGUGUUUUAAGAUUUAGUGGGCUCAACCCUCAAAUUCAGCAAAUACUCCUCUUGCUUUUUGAAAGGAAAAACUUACCUGUGAUAGACAUAUUAUUUUGCUCUUCAGAAUACUAAAAUUAUAUUAAUCAAUAAACACUUUAGAAAGUGGUUCUGGUAAGGAGUUAUCAGUUAUCGGACUUAACUGAAAAAAAAAAUUCAACCUCUUAGUUUCUUAUAUAGGGAUUAAAGAAAAUAACUUUAUUUCUUCCUUUGGGAUUUUGAUUAUUUUUCUUGGGUAACUUUUAAAGUAAUUAUAGUAGUUUCCACACUUUUUCCAAAAUUAUGGCAUGUUACAGUAAAUCUUACUGUUAAAGGUCUUUCACAUUUUAGACUGGUUUUUUCCUAUUCUGCUUUGUACUGCUUUCUGUGAUUCGUAAAUACCGUCACCAAAAAGGUUUUGUGGCUGCUUACUGUUUAUUUUGUAGUUAGCUCUACAUAAGGAAAACUGUUAGAGACCGAUAUGGCUGGUCUGUUCUCUUCAGAAACUCCUAACAGGUCUGGCUUUCCUUGCCUUGGCUGUUUGCUUUUGUAGACUAGAAUGACAAAUUCAGAAAAAAGUAAUCAGAGACCUAGCCAGACAGUCAUUUUCUGUCAGAUGCCUUGCUGUACGUAGAAGUGAAUCCAUUAAGACAGGAAAAUAUCAAACGCAUAUGAUUUGUCUCUUAUGUCACUUUUUCUGGGACUCAGAUUAAAUCGGAGUAUUUCGGUGUUACCAUAGAGGGUGACAGUGACUUGAAUGCUUAUAUAUGCGCGUCGUCAAUUCAGAGGAGGAUUCUGAAAAUUCGGAAUUGUUAAAAAACUUGCAAAUCGUGCUGCUACUUAAACAUCUAAGGAAUUCACAAAAGUUGUGUCGUUAUCAUAAAUGUUCCUUCUCAUUUAUUCUACUGGAAUUGACAAUGAAAAAAGAUUAUUAAGCCUUAUUUAUAUCUAAUUAUUGACUGCAAACUGUGACUGAAUAUUUGUAUGCCAAAAAAAGGUUUUAAAGUUGAGAGUUUUAGACGUAAUAAAGAUGUGUAAAUACUUUUGAUUAGUAUUUUCAUUAUAAUGAAGUUACUGUUAAUUUGGUGCAAUAUAUUCUUCCCUUCCUCGUCCUUUUAAAAUUAAAUAUAUAAUAUGUAUGUUUUGUUUUGUUACAUUGAAAGCUGUUUGGAAAUUUUUCAGUGUGUGUAUAUGAGUUACUGUUUGCUUUGUUUCUGUAUAGCGUGAUUGAAGAUGAUAACUGAAAAUUUUGCACCCUUUUUAGUCCUUUGGAAAUUUGUAUUCUAACAGUUUUUAAGAAUGUGCAUUUAUUUUGUACAUAAUAAAUAGCUUUGUAUAUGAAAAUGGGCUGGAAUCAAAUUAAAAGAAUGCUGUUCCUUUCCUCGGUUGGUUUGUGAGUCUCAGCUCAUGGCGUCUGGUGAGAACUCGGCCUUCACCGAGUGAGCGGGCAGAGGCCUGAAUGCAGUGCUUGCUAAUGCAUUACUGCUGCUUCUCAAGUGAGCAGAGCCGCUUCUGUAGCCUUCUGUGCACAAGAUAAACGUCAUGCUAAUUGACCAAUUUUUGUCAUAUGUAACAACAGAUAUUAAGCCUUUCGUUUUAAAGCCACCUCAGAAAUAUGGCUACAUUUUUUUCCCCAGGAAAUGAUCAUACGCCAGAAAUCUUCAUUUGUAGUUUAUCAAAUAAUACAUUAGGUUGAGGUUUUUAAAAAACUUUUAUUUCCUUUCAUAAUUAAAAUCUUUUAUUCAUCAAUUUUUGAUUAAUGUCUAAAUGUUGACCUAAUCCUUCUGUUUCUGUUAAAGUUAAUAGAACCUAAUCCAUGAUAAGACAGAAUCCAAGCUCUGUUGGAUUCUUGCUAUGUAGUACUUUUGUCUCCAGAUCCAGUAAAGCAAGACAACAGAAAUGAACAUUAACCUUUUUCUAGUCUGGUACCAUUUGUGCGCUAUUCUACCUCUACUGAAGACACUUGGCUAGAAUUGGAAACCUCUGCAUUCAUUCAUCUGGUGAGAUUUGUCAGUCACAGGACAAUGAAAGCCAGGGCCCUUACAGGCUUAAUUAAGUCUGCCUUGGAGAAAGCCAAAUACCAUCUGACUUCACUCAUGUGGAAGAUAAAAGAGCAAAAUCAGCAAACACAUAGAUACAGAGAAUAUAUUGUUAGAUUGGGGGAGGGUGAAAGGGGUAAAUGGGUCAUUUAUACAAUGAUGGAUGGAAACCAGACUUUUGAUGGUGAGCGCCAGUCUAUACAGAAAUCGAAAUAGAAUGAUGUACACCUGGAAUUCAUACAAUGUUAUAAACCAGUAUUGCCUCAGUUGAAAAAAAGACCACUUUGCUUUUGUGAAAUAAGUCCAUAACACCAUAUCAAGCAUCAAAUAAAUGUAUUUGUUUUACACAAUAUGCUGAAGCUUAUAAUUUCUCACCAUAUAAUGUUUAUUUGGUGAGAAUCUGAGAUUAAACAAUUUUUUGAAGCUUUAUUGUGAAUUUUUUUGCCAGUUUUUUAUUUUGUUCACUAGUGAACUUAGUAGAAUGAUUUUGACAGUCAGUCUAUUCCAUUCUGGUAGAAACUCUUUACCUACAUAGUGUUUGGUGCAUUUUCUAAAGUUGUAUCCAUUCAAAAGUGGUUCAGUUGUCAUUUUGCAGAGACUGAAGAAUUAGGGAAAGGCUACAGAAACAUUGUGA
This 7230-nucleotide long non-coding RNA is filed under the name Equus caballus (horse). RNAcentral describes it as "lncRNA (ENSECAG00000051014.1)". Lineage: Eukaryota; Metazoa; Chordata; Mammalia; Perissodactyla; Equidae. The record is from RNAcentral.